AUGCCUUAAACUUAUGAGUAAGAAAACUAAUGAUCUGGGGUGACAUCCGAAUCCUCACUGCUAAUGUGAGAUGGAUUUUUGAGCAAGUAAAGGUUGCCCCUAAGGUGACCCGCCUAUUUUGCUAGAUGCCUGGGAGUCGCGAUCUGCCUG
Molecule: small nuclear RNA, 150 nt
Filed under: Carlito syrichta (Philippine tarsier)
Lineage: Eukaryota; Metazoa; Chordata; Mammalia; Primates; Tarsiidae
Description: U12 minor spliceosomal RNA (ENSTSYG00000026098.1)
Rfam family: U12 minor spliceosomal RNA
About the family: Although the U12 sequence is very divergent from that of U2, the two are functionally analogous.
Source: Rfam by way of RNAcentral